This 460-nucleotide ribosomal RNA is filed under the name uncultured bacterium. Its description in RNAcentral is "partial 16S ribosomal RNA". It matches the Rfam family "Bacterial small subunit ribosomal RNA", at positions 338 to 795 of the family's 1533-position model. The record is from RNAcentral.
CCUACGGGCGGCUGCAGUGAGGAAUAUUGGUCAAUGGACGAGAGUCUGAACCAGCCAAGUAGCGUGAAGGAUGACUGCCCUAUGGGUUGUAAACUUCUUUUAUAUGGGAAUAAAAUGUUCCACGUGUGGGAUUUUGUAUGUACCAUAUGAAUAAGGAUCGGCUAACUCCGUGCCAGCAGCCGCGGUAAUACGGAGGAUCCGAGCGUUAUCCGGAUUUAUUGGGUUUAAAGGGAGCGUAGGUGGAUUGUUAAGUCAGUUGUGAAAGUUUGCGGAUCAACCGUAAAAUUGCAGUUGAAACUGGCAGUCUUGAGUACAGUAGAGGUGGGCGGAAUUCGUGGUGUAGCGGUGAAAUGCUUAGAUAUCACGAAGAACUCCGAUUGCGAAGGCAGUUCACUGGACUGCAACUGACACUGAGGCUCGAAAGUGUGGGUAUCAAACAGGAUUAGAUACCCGAGUAGUC